RNAcentral lists this ribosomal RNA (509 nucleotides) under uncultured Archaeorhizomycetes. RNAcentral's name for it is "eukaryotic LSU rRNA". It matches the Rfam family "Eukaryotic large subunit ribosomal RNA", at positions 191 to 707 of the family's 3401-position model. The record is from RNAcentral. Lineage: Eukaryota; Fungi; Ascomycota; Archaeorhizomycetes.
UGGAACAGGAGGUCAUGGAGGGUGAGAACCCCGUAUGUGGCUUGGGCGACGUGGUCCUUGUGACGUAUCCUCUAAGAGUCGGGUUGUUUGGGAAUGCAGCUCAAAAUGGGUGGUAAAUUUCAUCUAAAGCUAAAUAUUGGUGAGAGACCGAUAGCAAACAAGUAGAGUGAUCGAAAGAUGAAAAGUACUUUGAAAAGAGAGUGAAACAGUACGUGAAAUUGUUGAAAGGGAAGCGUUUGGCAUCAGCCCAUGGCGGCGGUCGAACAUCUGGGUUUUUUGCUCUGUGCACUCGGCAGUCGCCGGGCCAGCGUCGGUUCCACCUGCUGGAGAAAGGCCUUGGGGAAGUGGCACUCCCUUGUGGAGUGUGUUAUAACCCAUGGCGUCAUGCGGCUUGGUGGGACCGAGGUCCGCGGUUUUGUCCUAGGACGCUGGCGUAAUGGUUCCAAGCGACCCGUCUUGAAACACGGACCAAGGAGUCUAACAUCUAUGCGAGUGUUUGGGUGUCAAGC